CAUUUGUAAGCGUCUCCCGUGA
This 22-nucleotide non-coding RNA is filed under the name Arabidopsis thaliana (thale cress). Lineage: Eukaryota; Viridiplantae; Streptophyta; Magnoliopsida; Brassicales; Brassicaceae. The record is from RNAcentral.